UGCGGUCACCAGAAAGAAGGUGGAGGAUGGUGGGAAAUGGGCUGGAGGAGAGGAGCGCCCCCUGGAGGCUCAGAAGCAGCAGCGAGGUGCAGUGGGCAGUACACUCCACACCGAAGGAGGCCUGGCUUCUUGCUCAGCUUCUGCGCUAACGUGCUGUGUGCCCUGGGCCAAGUCAGUUGCCCUCUCUGUGACUCCCUUUGCUCGUCUGUGUAUUGAGAGGGUGACUCCAGAAGAGUGUCUCCACGGGAGGCCUGUGUCUGGGGGUGAGCCCAGGUAUCUGCCUUUUAAUCAUGAUCCCCCAGGAUUCUUUGGACUAGAGUUGCUCCAGUCCUGGUUCAAAUUCCAAUAAAGCCUUCCCUUUAAAAGGCAGCACAACCCUUCAACUUUAUCCUGAUUUGGGAGGUCCCAGGAUCUGAGCACCCUGUCGGACUUGGCGGCAGGGAGAUCCUGGCAGCACGCCAGGCUGGGCAAAGGCUCCAGGGCCUGGGGAGCUGAGGGAAGAGUAAGGCUGCUCUGACCGCGGGGCAGGUGCAGGGGCGGCUCUGGGGAAAGGCAGCUGAGCCAGAGCAUCUCUAGUGUGGCAUCGGCGUGGUCUGGAAGCUUGUUAGAAAUACGUCCUUCUGCCGCCCCCAUCCCCUUCCCCCUCCUACUGAAGAGGAAUCUCUCUGGUGGCCGGGUCCAGGAAUCUGCAUUUUUGCAUACUCCCCAGGUCACUGCAGAGUCUCAUGGAUCCUCUUUCUCUUGGGACCAGUUUUGCACCAUCUUGGAGCAGAGGGUAGGAUAAUGAGCAGAAAUUCUGGACAGGAAGGAUCAACAGAACUGCACAUCUGGCUGGAUAAAAAAGAUGAGGAACAGGGGCCAAAAAAAGAAAAGAAAAAAGCCUCCAGCAUCUUGAACCAAAGGAUUGGGAAGAGUCUGGGGCACUAACGGAAAAACAGAGAAGCUGCGGGUAUAAUCUGGAGGAGGGGGGAGCUGGCUAAUUCCAGUCAGGACCAUUUUGGAGGAGGGCGAGGGUGCAGGAAUUGACAUGGACAGGGGAUGUUCAGUCAGUAUUUGUUAAUUUGUAUGUUUCUAGGAAUUUAUCACUGUCUUCCAGAUUGCCCAAUUUGUUGGCAUAUAAUUAUUUAUAAUCUUCUCUUAUAAUUGUCUUUCAAUCAGCAUCUGUUGAAGGAAUGAAGGUGUUAUUGCCUGAAAGCAUGUUAAUACACUCUGGAGAAGACAGUUUCAACUUAUUCGGGUGCUCUCCUGCCCUGUGAGGGAGUUUUUGUGCGCUGUGGUCAUUACGGGGAGGGGCAAUCACUCUUGCUCUCAAGGAGCUUCCAGUCUCAUUGGAGAGAGAUGACAUACACUUGGAGGGGAAAACCCAUAGGACAAAGCCAGCGGCUUUUUAUUUAUGUCCCCACCCCCGCCCCACAGAGAUUGAACCAUCUGGACAGAAAUAUUGUAAAAUGGGGGAAGAGCAGGCAUCACCCAUAACCUCAGGAGACUAACACAACACUUCUCAUUCCUUUGAUGUUUAUCCCAGGAACCUUCUUCCCUCCCCAUGGAACAUAAGUUUAUGGAAGAAUCUCAACCAAAAACUUGACGUAGCUUGAUUCCCCCGCCCCCUCCCACCCCAGCUCUUGACCAUGUAGGUUGACUCUCUCUUUCCUGCUGGGUUCCUGGCAUUUUCCAAUCAUUUUCGGUUACCCAAACCCAAUACAGUUUAGCCCUAGUCAUCAAUGUUGGUGACACCGCAGAAAGAAACAGAAACGGACAUAUUUACUUCCUGAUGGAAGAACACAUCACCACUAAUGGAAUCCUCCUGAAGAAAAAGUCGCCCAAUCUGAUUUGAUUGAGUCUCUGUACUUGGGUUCCCGUGUGUAGGACUGUAGGGCAUGAAUGAUCAUGUUGAACAACAGCAGCAAAAUUCAGACUGUCGGGAGACUUUACAAGACCAAUAACCCUGGUUCUUUUUUUUUCUUUAAAUAUAGACUGCUUCACAAA
This is a long non-coding RNA of Mirounga angustirostris (Northern elephant seal), 1986 nucleotides long. RefSeq lists it as uncharacterized. The transcript is spliced from 2 exons. The record is from RefSeq and is a predicted model, not a curated record. Lineage: Eukaryota; Metazoa; Chordata; Mammalia; Carnivora; Phocidae.